This is a long non-coding RNA of Mastomys coucha (southern multimammate mouse), 286 nucleotides long. RefSeq lists it as uncharacterized. The transcript is spliced from 3 exons. The record is from RefSeq and is a predicted model, not a curated record. NCBI's taxonomy places the organism in Eukaryota, Metazoa, Chordata, Mammalia, Rodentia, Muridae.
AAGCACUCAAGGCUGGAAGGCGGAACUUCCUUUGAGAAUUUUCAUGUCCUUUUUUCAGCCGCUUUACAAGGACAGACCAGGAAAUCAAACAACAACUUACCAGAAUCAUACUAUGUAUAAGGCUUUGACUCCAACCCCUGAAAAUACUUCAAUUCAAUGGCACUUUGGUCUCUGGAAUUAGAUCCUGUUAUCAAUGACUUCCACAUGGAAAGAUCAUUCCAAAAUGUGUAAUUAACCAAGAAAAUGCAAAUAAACCAAUUUGUACCUGCUAUUUAGAGGUAAGAUA